GCCCUCUAGAUUUCUUCCCAGUCAGAUCUAAAGAUUGGUCUGCGUGGCUGGAAAAGGAGGAAGAGUAAAACUGAAGUGGACUUGCAAUCUUUACGGACAUACAAAUUCAUUUUGAACAUAA
This 121-nucleotide small nucleolar RNA is filed under the name Echinops telfairi (small Madagascar hedgehog). Its description in RNAcentral is "Small nucleolar RNA SNORA61 (ENSETEG00000024159.1)". The record is from RNAcentral. Lineage: Eukaryota; Metazoa; Chordata; Mammalia; Afrosoricida; Tenrecidae.